This 253-nucleotide ribosomal RNA is filed under the name uncultured bacterium. RNAcentral describes it as "partial 16S ribosomal RNA". It matches the Rfam family "Bacterial small subunit ribosomal RNA", at positions 524 to 776 of the family's 1533-position model. The record is from RNAcentral.
UACGUAGGGGGCAAGCGUUGUCCGGAUUUAUUGGGCGUAAAGAGCGUGUAGGCGGCCAAGUAGGUCCGUUGUGAAAACUCGAGGCUCAACCUCGAGACGCCGAUGGAAACCAUUUGGCUAGAGUCCGGAAGAGGAGAGUGGAAUUCCUGGUGUAGCGGUGAAAUGCGCAGAUAUCUGGAGGAACACCGGUGGCGAAGGCGGCAUCCUGGACCAACACUGACGCUGAGGAGCGAAAGCCAGGGGAGCAAACGGG